GGUCAUAGNNUGUUACUGGAUAUCUUGAGUGCAGUUGAGGCAGGCGGAAUUCGUGGUGUAGCGGUGAAAUGCUUAGAUAUCACGAAGAACUCCGAUUGCGAAGGCAGCCUGCUAAGCUGCAACUGACAUUGAGGCUCGAAAGUGUGGGUAUCAAACAGGAUUAGAUACCCUGGUAGUCCACACGGUAAACGAUGAAUACUCGCUGUUUGCGAUAUACAGUAAGCGGCCAAGCGAAAGCAUUAAGUAUUCCACCUGGGGAGU
RNAcentral lists this ribosomal RNA (261 nucleotides) under uncultured bacterium. Its description in RNAcentral is "partial 16S ribosomal RNA". It matches the Rfam family "Bacterial small subunit ribosomal RNA", at positions 618 to 881 of the family's 1533-position model. The record is from RNAcentral.